GAGGAUGCAAGCGUUAUCCGGAAUGAUUGGGCGUAAAGCGUCCGCAGGUGGCAGUUCAAGUCUGCUGUCAAAGACCGGGGCUUAACUUCGGAAAGGCAGUGGAAACUGAACAGCUAGAGUAUGGUAGGGGCAGAGGGAAUUCCUGGUGUAGCGGUGAAAUGCGCAGAUAUCAGGAGGAACACCGGUGGCGAAGGCGGUGGUCUGGGCCGGCACUGACGCUGAGGAGCGAAAGCGUGGGGAGCGAACAGG
Molecule: ribosomal RNA, 249 nt
Filed under: uncultured bacterium
Lineage: Bacteria
Description: partial 16S ribosomal RNA
Rfam family: Bacterial small subunit ribosomal RNA
Source: RNAcentral